This 501-nucleotide ribosomal RNA is filed under the name uncultured bacterium. Its description in RNAcentral is "bacterial SSU rRNA". It matches the Rfam family "Bacterial small subunit ribosomal RNA", at positions 28 to 521 of the family's 1533-position model. The record is from RNAcentral.
GAUGAACGUUGGCGGUGUGCCUAAUACAUGCAAGUCGAACGGUAUCAUCCUUUCGGGGGUGAGAGAGUGGCGAACUGGUGAGUAACACGUAGGUUAUCUACCCUCAAGACGGGGACAACCCAGGGAAACUUGGGCUAAUACCGGAUGUGAGCAACUUUUAGUUGUUUGAAAGGUGGCGUAAGCUGUCGCUUGGGGAUGAGCCUGCGUCCUAUUAGUUAGUUGGUGAGGUAACGGCUCACCUAGGCAAUGAUAGGUAGGCGGCCUUAACGGGUGGUCGCCCACACUGGGAUUGAGAUACGGCCCAGACUCCUACGGGAGGCAGCAGUCGAGAAUAGUCUACAAUGGUCGGAAGACUGAUAGUGCGACGCCGCGUGAACGAUGAAUCCCUUCGGGGUGUAAAGUUCUUUUAUAUGUGAGCAGUGCUUCUUAUAUUAACAGUAUGGGGAGAGAGAUAUUAGCAUAUGAAUAAGCAACGGCUAACUCCGUGCCAGCAGCCGCGGU